This 72-nucleotide transfer RNA is filed under the name Methylacidimicrobium cyclopophantes. RNAcentral describes it as "Verrucomicrobia bacterium 3b tRNA". It matches the Rfam family "tRNA". From Rfam's summary of the family: Transfer RNA (tRNA) molecules are approximately 80 nucleotides in length. The record is from Rfam by way of RNAcentral. RNAcentral also lists the same sequence under 4 other names. Lineage: Bacteria; Pseudomonadati; Verrucomicrobiota.
GGGCAGGUAGCUCAACGGCAGAGCAGGUGCCUUUUAAGCACUUGGUUCAGGGUUCGAAUCCCUGCCUGCCCA